UACAGAGGGUGCGAGCGUUGUCCGGAAUCACUGGGCGUAAAGGGCGCGUAGGUGGCGGGCCAAGUCAGUGGUGAAAGCUCGAUGCUCAACAUCGAGUCGGCCACUGAUACUGGUUUGCUUGAGCACUGUAGAGGCAGAUGGAAUUCCGGGUGUAGCGGUGGAAUGCGUAGAGAUCCGGAAGAACACCGGUGGCGAAGGCGGCCUGCUGGGCAGUAGCUGACGCUGAAGCGCGACAGCGUGGGGAGCAAACAGG
This 253-nucleotide ribosomal RNA is filed under the name uncultured bacterium. RNAcentral describes it as "partial 16S ribosomal RNA". It matches the Rfam family "Bacterial small subunit ribosomal RNA", at positions 524 to 776 of the family's 1533-position model. The record is from RNAcentral.